RNAcentral lists this long non-coding RNA (3912 nucleotides) under Solanum tuberosum (potato). RNAcentral describes it as "long non-coding RNA (STUB_LNC006426)". Lineage: Eukaryota; Viridiplantae; Streptophyta; Magnoliopsida; Solanales; Solanaceae. The record is from RNAcentral.
CUCUAAAUGAUAAAGAUGGAAGUCGGGACAAAACCCAUGACAUCCAGACAAAACUGAAGGUAAAUGAAAUCCUCUGGAAGCAAGAAGGCACCGUAGCUAACUGGAACUGCAAGUGGUAUCAACGAAGUUUCUGUUGAUGAUCUUGAAUACCUGUAUCUGCAUCAUGAAAUCAUGCAGGCCAAAUGGCUCAGUAGAUGGAAUGUACGAGCAUGUAAGGGAAAUUCUAAAGCAUAACAUAAGCUUGAACUUGAUAAAAAGGGAACAUACUUACCUCUUCUCAACUCACUCAACUAAACUCAACUCAAGAAUAAGAUGCUCAACUCAAAGAUUAGAUACUCAACUCAAGGAUAUGAUACUUAACUCAAAGGUACUCAACUCAAGUUACUCAAGGAUAUAGCAACAAUAAAAGAUGUAAUAUAUGGAAAACCUUUAAACAGUAGAAAGCAACUCGAUGUAUUGAAGAAUACAAUAACAACUCAAUUUGUAUAUAAAAAUAUAAUAUAACUAUGUGGGAGAUUCUCUAAUCGACAACAAUUACUAUGAGUUAUGUGAUGAUACAGCGUCUCGCCCACGCUGCCAGAACUGUCAUAUACUUUGUCGGGGUAUAGAACCUCUCAACUAAGUGGAUCCACUAGUCUAUGCUAAAAGCAUUAAGGAAUCAUCUAAAAAGUAUGACCCUUUCUACCCACGUUGGCUACAUGGUUUAUGGAGACUUGAGUUAUCUAAAAAGAGAUGUUACUCAAACUGCUCAAAACUCUUUUGGAAAUCUCAAUUUCCUCCUCUUUUUAAAUGUGAAAACAUUUAGUCUUGGGAAUACUUAGUUUCCAUAUAUCAUUUUAAAGAAAAUGACUCGACUCCACUUUUUCUCAACUCAAGUGCUCAAGUCUUAAAACAAGUUUAGAAAAAAUUGUAAAAGACUUCUCAAAAUAAGGUUCAUGCCGAAUUAUGGACGUAAACGACACAAUUCAAGGUUUUCAAUAACCAUACAUAGAACUCAAUACUCAGAACUCGACAACUCAGAACUCAAGAACUUCAAUGAUACUACUUAUUUCAAGAAUGCUCAACUCAGACGGUUCAUGCGGAAUCAUAGGCAUGAACAACUCAACUCAUGGACUUCAAGAUACUACUCAUCUCAAGAAUGUUCAACUCAUAGGGUUCAUGCGGAACUAUGGCCAUGAACUACUCAACUGAAGGACUACAUGGGUAAUAUGUAAUAGUAAUAAGAUUAGGAAUAUAAUCUCAAAAGGGUUAGGAACUCGAUACUCAAGGCUUAGAACUUAAAAAUAGUACUACUCCUCUCAAAGAUGCUCAAAUUAGAAAGUUCAUGCAGAAUUAUGGGCAUGAAGGACUCGACUCGAAGGUCUGCAUAACAAUAUGGAACUCAUGUAUACGACUCUUGUCAUCCUCGUACUUACUUCCUCAAAACCUAGCUCAAAUCAAUAGUUAAUCUCAAAAGAUUCACAAUUGAACUCAAAGACUUUUUUGAACUCUACUCUUAACUCUCUCUUGAAUUUGAAUUAUGAAUUCAAGAGUUAUGGUUCAUGAGGAUCUCGUUGAUAGUGUAGACUCAUAAAUACAUUCUCCUCACUCUCAUGCUCACUUACUUGAGUCUUGAAACAAGUUAUUAAAAUUUGUAGAAGACUCCUCAAAAGACUCAAAGGGACUUUCUCAAAAGACUCAAAAGAACUCUCAAGACUUGGCUCUUAACUCUACCUUGAAUUUGAAUUAUGAAUUCAAGGUUAUGAUUUGUGAUAGCAAAGAUAUCAUAAUGAUUAAAUGAGUUUUAGAUAGUUAAUCAUGAGAAACGGUUUAAAAACACGGACAGGGGAGCAAGUCGGCGAUGCAGAGAUGAAUUUUAAUGUUUGGUCAAAAUAAUUUUUGAAACAAUGGAGUCUGCAUUCUCUUCGCGAAGCAGAAAGAAAAAAUUUCACUUCUGAGGAACAGACUCUUCCUCGUUUUCUAGCCCCAAUUGGCCUAAAUUCAAUUCUUUUUCUCAAUUUCUCUUUAGAUUCAGAUACCUACUACAUGUACACAAGAAUCUAAUCAAACACAACUUUAAAAUCGAUACAAUUUCCUGAAGAACUCAUCAACCACAUCUAAACUCAACAACGAAAGCCAAUUUCAAGAACACAAUUUAAGAACACCGAACUUUCAACCUUCUAGAAUGAAUUUCGCUGAAAUUAACAUGAUUGGCGUGUGGGUGAAAAAACCCAACACUAUGGAAGCUUACAUACCUCUUAAGGAUCAAACACAUGGCGAAAAUCAGCAAUAAAACUUAAGAACCUCGACGAACGCCUUGAUCCUUUCCUCUUUUCUCUUCUUGAACUCUCAACUAAAAUCCUAGGCGUAUAUUAGGAUUAUAAAAUUGAACCUAAUCAGAUUAGACCCCUUAAACCUUACUAAAAAUGAAUUAAAUCUGAUUGGGUAAGUAAAAGACCAAAAUACCCCUUACUAUUUUUGGGUAACUUUCCUUGUUUGGACAGCCCGACUUCAAACGAGAAUAUCUCCCUCAUACAAGCUCGAAAUUUAGUAAACUCGGUGGCAUUGGAAACAUAAUUCAAAGACCUUUCAUUUGAUAUCUUACGGGCCGCCGAACUCAUUCUGUACUGAGAGUUAUGGUCGUUUGAAAUUAACCCAAAUCUUAGAGGAACUUAUGAAUGACUUGAAUGGACUCUCUUUAGUUCUUCUUGGAACUCAAGGUGCUACAUUUAGUGACCUUAACACUUAAGAAAUUUUAAAUUCCUCGAUAAAAUCCUACUUACAACAAAGGAUGGUUCAAGUUUUAGCUCAAAAAUUUUCUGGAGUGUUACAGGUUCGAUGCUUAGAUCUAUUCUCUGCUACAAUAUCAUUCGAUGGAGUAAAAAGAACAAUCACAGACUAGGAUCCUACAAUAGAUUGUUCUUUAGUGAAAUUCAAAAUAGAUAAAGAUCUAUUUUGGUAGAUUCACGAUGGUAUGUUAUAUCUCCAUUAAUAUUUUUUCUUGUUUGACGAAUCAUUAGCCUUAAAGUAUAUUAAGAUAACCCAAAAUCAAUCAAGUUUCAAUAAUUUGGUAUAAUUAACUAUCAAAAAUUAGAAGAAAAUGUAAAUUGAAAACUAUAAGAAAUCAGACACAACUUAAAUAAUAGUUGAAUCAGUUACAGGCCUCUAUAAUCAGAAGAGAGAAUAAAGAGAUGUAUGUGGGAUGGGAGAUUGAGAAGAGAGAGAGAGUUGAUUAGGAUUCAUGAAGGUGAAUUGGGGGGAUAGAUUAUACCCAAUUGAUCUAUUCUAGGCUAUUUUUUUUAGAGAGUGGUGUAUAUAUCUCAAUGUAUCUCACCUUAAAUAUGGUAUAAAAUACUUAAAUAGUAUUUACAUAGUAUAUACCUUUUGUUCUUUUUUACCACGUCAUUGAGACAUGAAUCCUUCUCUAUCUUCAGGCAAUAAAUUCUUGCCUUUUUCUUAUGAUGAUCUUUCUAUGAUUUUGAUAACAAGUGAUCAAGGUCGAUCUUCACCGAACACAUCUCCAAAUUCAGUUCCAUCAAAAAAACCUUUGUGAAUAUCCCUUACUCAUUUUAUGUGUUCUCCCUUGUCCUGCAACAUGCACAAUGCAAGCUAUACAAAAACAUCUCUUGUUUCUCUCACUUAAAUCGAAUUAAUUAGCACAACUCAUCUAGCUGGAAUGUCCAAUUAAUUUUUUCUUCCAAACAUCUCCUUCUUGUACGUGUGGAGGAUGUGACAUAAUUUGGAUAUUAUGAGAGCUAAUUAAAAGUUCCUUUCCAUGGUCCUCCUUCUUCCCCAAUAAUAAUUAAAAGUUCCUUUCCCUAGCCCUUCGUAUUCCCCAAUAAUAUAAUUUUAAGUUAUGGAGGUGGAAUAUCGUUUUAUGACCCUUGGGCAUAAUAAUGAACUUGAAUAGAUACAUAUAAAGUUACAACUUGC